CCAAGGGCAUGCCUAGUACGGCGAGUGAGCGGCAACAGCUCAAAUUUGAAAGCUGGCCUUCGGGUCCGCAUUGUAAUUUGUAGAGGAUGCUUUGGGUGAAACGCCAGUCUAAGUUCCUUGGAACAGGACGUCAUAGAGGGUGAGAAUCCCGUAUGUGACUGGAAAUGUUAACCUAUGUAAAGCUCCUUCGACGAGUCGAGUUGUUUGGGAAUGCAGCUCUAAAUGGGAGGUAAAUUUCUUCUAAAGCUAAAUAUUGGCGAGAGACCGAUAGCGCACAAGUAGAGUGAUCGAAAGAUGAAAAGCACUUUGGAAAGAGAGUUAAAAAGCACGUGAAAUUGUUGAAAGGGAAGCGCUUGCAAUCAGACUUGUUUAAACUGUUCGGCCGGUCUUCUGACCGGUUUACUCAGUUUGGACAGGCCAGCAUCAGUUUCGGCGGCCGGAUAAAGGCUCUGGGAAUGUGGCCUUCACUUCGGUGAAGGUGUUAUAGCCCAGGGUGUAAUACGGCCAGCCGGGACUGAGGUCCGCGCUUCGGCUAGGAUGCUGGCGUAAUGGUUGUAAGCGACCCGUCUUGAACCACGGACC
RNAcentral lists this ribosomal RNA (582 nucleotides) under Aureobasidium pullulans. Its description in RNAcentral is "eukaryotic LSU rRNA". It matches the Rfam family "Eukaryotic large subunit ribosomal RNA", at positions 65 to 667 of the family's 3401-position model. Lineage: Eukaryota; Fungi; Ascomycota; Dothideomycetes; Dothideales; Saccotheciaceae. The record is from RNAcentral.